This 1634-nucleotide long non-coding RNA is filed under the name Pan troglodytes (chimpanzee). RNAcentral describes it as "long non-coding RNA NONPTRT016065". Lineage: Eukaryota; Metazoa; Chordata; Mammalia; Primates; Hominidae. The record is from RNAcentral.
AGAAAGAGGUGGUAUCACAGACAAAUGCACUUAGAGACAUCCACUCUCAAUGGUGGCAGCAACAGAGAGGCGAAAGUAUUUUAGCUGACUCUUUAUACCCAAAGAUUUUUGUCCUUAUCCACAUAAACUCCCAUUCCUCAGGGCUGGCAUGGAAAGGGUGAAAAAUUAAGUCAACCACAAUGUUUACAGUGGUUAACUCAGGUGUGAUGCUUAAUUUUAUGCGUCAACUUGAUUGGGCUGUGGGGUGCCCAGGUAUGUGGUCAAACAUUAUUUCUGGGUGUUUCUGUGUGUCUUUGAAUGAAGUUAAAUUUAAAUCAGAACACUGAGUAACACAGAUUUUCCCCCAGUAUGUAGAUGGGCCCCAUCACAUCAGUUGAAGGCCUGGAGAAAACAGAAAGGCUGACCCUCCCUUGAGAGUAAGAGAAAACUCUUGUGAUGGCCUUUGGAUGAUCAGCUGUUUUCCUGCCUUCAGAUCCAAACGGAAACAUUGGCUCUUCCUGGGGUUCCAGCCUGCUGUCUUGACGGGAACUAUACCAUCAGCUCUCCUGGGUCUCUUACAUGCCAAGUCAUCCUGCAGAUCUGGGACUCACUCCAUAAUCAAGAAUGCCACCAAUUCAGCACUUAAAAAAUUCUGGGCCAGGUGUGGUGGCUCACACCUGUAAUCCUAGUACUUUGGGAGGCCAAGACCGGCAGACCACUGGAGGCCAGAAGUUUGAGACCAGCCUGGCCAACAUGGUGAAACCCUGUCUCUACUAAAAAUACAAAAGUUAGCCAGGUGUGGUGGCACACACUUGUAAACCCAGCUACUUGGGAGGCUGAGGCAAGAGAAUUGUUUGAACCCAAGAGACAAGAGUUGCAGUGAGCCGAGAUCAUGCCACCUCACUCCAGCCUGGGCAACAGAGCAAGACCCUGUCUCAAAAAAAAAAAAAGGCUAGGCACGGUGGCUCACACCUAUAAUCCCAGCACUUUGGGAGGCCAAGGCAGGCAGAUCACCUGAGAUCGGGAGUUCGAGACCAGCCUGACCAACAUGGAGAAACCCUGUCUCUACUGAAAAUACAAAAUUAGCCAGUCAUGUUGGCAUAUGCCUGUAACCCCAGCUACUCAGUAGGCUGAGGCAGGAGAAUCGCUUGAACCUGGGAGGCGGAGGUUACGAUGAGCCAAGAUUGCGCCGUUGCACUCCAGCCUAGGCAACAAAAGCGAAACUCCGUCUCAAAAAAAAAAAAAAAAAAAAGUCUGCCAUGUUUUCCAGUUGCCUUCGUACCUGUCUCAUAUAAUGGGAAGAUUCUGGAGGGCAGCAAUGGUGCUUUGCUGUUUUCAUAUAUCCCUUCUUUAACCCAAGAAUCUUUCCUGUAAUAGAAUUUCAAAAAUGUAGAAUCCAGCUGAGUGUUUAUCUUUGUUCUGGAUUCUCAAGCCAUUUAAAGGCAGCAGGCUGUCAUGAUUUUCCACACAAAAGGGCAGAAACGGGAUUAACACAAUAGGAUGCUGUCUCUACUCUCAUCUACCCUGUCCAAGGAAUUUAAUUUCCUAUAAGCCUACCUCCAAUUCUCCUUGGGAAGUUAUAUUUAAGAACCUUAAUGCUUCAGACCCUCUUUUGACAUUAAAUCUUUGUCUGCUGAAUGCUAACAAUCUUGAGG